RNAcentral lists this ribosomal RNA (398 nucleotides) under uncultured bacterium. Its description in RNAcentral is "bacterial SSU rRNA". It matches the Rfam family "Bacterial small subunit ribosomal RNA", at positions 28 to 507 of the family's 1533-position model. The record is from RNAcentral.
GACGAACGCUGGCGGCGUGCUUAACACAUGCAAGUCGAACGGGGUGUUAUUUCGGUAAACACCAAGUGGCGAACGGGUGAGUAACGCGUAAGCAAUCUACCUUCAAGAUGGGCUCGCGUCUGAUUAGAUAGUUGGUGGGGUAACGGCCCACCAAGUCGACGAUCAGUAGCCGGACUGAGAGGUUGAACGGCCACAUUGGGACUGAGAUACGGCCCAGACUCCUACGGGAGGCAGCAGUGGGGAAUCUUCCGCAAUGGGCGAAAGCCUGACGGAGCAACGCCGCGUGAGUGAUGACGGCCUUCGGGUUGUAAAACUCUGUGAUCCGGGACGAAAAGGCAGAGUGCGAAGAACAAACUGCAUUGACGGUACCGGAAAAGCAAGCCACGGCUAACUACGUG